UACAGAGGUCUCAAGCGUUGUUCGGAUUCAUUGGGCGUAAAGGGUGUGUAGGUGGCGCCGUAAGUCGGGUGUGAAAUCUCGGGGCUUAACUCCGAAACUGCAUUCGAUACUGCGGUGCUUGAGGACUGGAGAGGAGACUGGAAUUCAUGGUGUAGCAGUGAAAUGCGUAGAGAUCAUGAGGAAGACCAGUGGCGAAGGCGGGUCUCUGGACAGUUCCUGAUACUGAGACACGAAGGCCAGGGGAGCAAACGGG
RNAcentral lists this ribosomal RNA (253 nucleotides) under uncultured bacterium. Its description in RNAcentral is "partial 16S ribosomal RNA". It matches the Rfam family "Bacterial small subunit ribosomal RNA", at positions 524 to 776 of the family's 1533-position model. The record is from RNAcentral.